RNAcentral lists this ribosomal RNA (253 nucleotides) under uncultured bacterium. RNAcentral describes it as "partial 16S ribosomal RNA". It matches the Rfam family "Bacterial small subunit ribosomal RNA", at positions 524 to 776 of the family's 1533-position model. The record is from RNAcentral.
UACGGAGGGUGCAAGCGUUGUUCGGAAUCACUGGGCGUAAAGGGCGCGCAGGCGGUUUGGUAAGUCAGAUGUGAAAGCCCACGGCUUAACCGUGGAAGUGCAUUUGAUACUGCUAGACUUGAGUACCAGAGGGGAAAGUGGAAUUCCCGGUGUAGAGGUGAAAUUCGUAGAUAUCGGGAGGAAUACCGGUGGCGAAGGCGACUUUCUGGCUGAGUACUGACGCUGAGGCGCGAAAGCGUGGGGAGCAAACAGG